UGGGGAAUAUUGCACAAUGGGCGCACGCCUGAUGCAGCCAUGCCGCGUGUAUGAAGAAGGCCUUCGGGUUGUAAAGUUCUUUCAGUCGGGAGGAAGGUGGUAAGGUUAAUAACCUUGGCCAUUGACGGUACCGACAGAAGAAGCACCGGCUAUCUCCGUGCCAGCAGCCGCGGUAAUUCGGAGGGUGCAAGCGUUAAUCGGAUUUACUGGGUGUAACGCGCACGCAGGCGGUGGGUUGAGUCAGAUGUGGAAUCCCCGGGCUUAACCCGGGAAUUGCAUAUUAUACUGGUCAGCUAGAGUCUUGUAGAGGGGGGUAGAAUUCCUUGUGUGGCGGUGAAAAACGUAGAGAUGUGGAGGAAAACCGGUGGCGAAAACGGCACCCUGGACAAAGACUGACGAUCAGAUGCGAAAGCGUGGGGAGCAAACAGG
Molecule: ribosomal RNA, 429 nt
Filed under: Chloroflexota bacterium
Lineage: Bacteria; Bacillati; Chloroflexota
Description: Chloroflexi bacterium partial 16S ribosomal RNA
Rfam family: Bacterial small subunit ribosomal RNA
Source: RNAcentral